Molecule: ribosomal RNA, 234 nt
Filed under: uncultured bacterium
Lineage: Bacteria
Description: partial 16S ribosomal RNA
Rfam family: Bacterial small subunit ribosomal RNA
Source: RNAcentral
GGCGGACGGGUGAGUAACGCGUGGGAAUCUGCCUACUAGCGGGGGAUAGCCCGGAGAAAUCCGGAUUAAUACCGCAUACGCCCUACGGGGGAAAGCUGGGGAUCUUCGGACCUGGCACUAGUAGAUGAGCCCGCGUUGGAUUAGCUUGUUGGUGGGGUAAAGGCCUACCAAGGCAACGAUCCAUAGCUGUUCUGAGAGGAAGAUCAGCCACACUGGGACUGAGACACGGCCCAG